GACGAACGCUGGCGGCGUGCUUAACACAUGCAAGUCGAACGGAAAGGCCCUGCUUUUGUGGGGUGCUCGAGUGGCGAACGGGUGAGUAACACGUGAGUAACCUGCCCUUGACUUUGGGAUAACUUCAGGAAACUGGGGCUAAUACCGGAUAGGAGCUCCUGCUGCAUGGUGGGGGUUGGAAAGUUUCGGCGGUUGGGGAUGGACUCGCGGCUUAUCAGCUUGUUGGUGGGGUAGUGGCUUACCAAGGCUUUGACGGGUAGCCGGCCUGAGAGGGUGACCGGCCACAUUGGGACUGAGAUACGGCCCAGACUGCUACGGGAGGCAGCAGUGGGGAAUAUUGCACAAUGGGCGGAAGCCUGAUGCAGCAACGCCGCGUGCGUGAUGACGGGCUUCGGGUUGUAAACCGCUUUCGCCUGUGACGAAGCGUGAGUGACGGUAAUGGGUAAAGAAGCACCGGCUAACUACGUG
This 468-nucleotide ribosomal RNA is filed under the name uncultured bacterium. RNAcentral's name for it is "partial 16S ribosomal RNA". It matches the Rfam family "Bacterial small subunit ribosomal RNA", at positions 28 to 507 of the family's 1533-position model. The record is from RNAcentral.